RNAcentral lists this long non-coding RNA (3723 nucleotides) under Homo sapiens (human). RNAcentral's name for it is "HSALNT0062717". The record is from RNAcentral. Lineage: Eukaryota; Metazoa; Chordata; Mammalia; Primates; Hominidae.
GAGACAGAAUGUCAGUUUUGAAAUAUAGGAGUUCGAGAUUAGAAACCUAAUACUUUUGUUAUGAAUUAUGCUAAAACGGUAAAAAAAUUUUCAAAAUAUAGUUGUCUCAAAUACACUCUUCUCAGAUAACAGAAGGCCAGGCAAGGGCACUGACUUGAAGGGAAACAAACCACAGUAAUAUGACUGCCUGAAAGUAACUAUGGAAUUCAGUUUCUCAAAGUGAUUACUUCUUCUAAUCUUCAUAUUGAUGACUCACUAGUACAUUUACUUUGAUGGGUUUAAUCAACUCUGAUAACAUAGUUCCAAACACUUAAAAGGACCUGAUUUAUGUAUUAAAUAAAGGUUAAUUUGUUCUUGAGAAAUUGACAAAAGAUUUGGUCAAACGUAAAUGAAUAUGCAAUAAGUCACAUAAGUCUGUGUGUAUAUACAUAUAUGACUUUAAUUUUAUAAGUGCAUGUGUAUACGCACACCUUUAGCUCAUUUAAAUAAAAAGCUAUCCAAUGUUUUAUGUCCAUUAUGUCCCCCGUUAACAUUGAGCAAAAUGUUAACCCCUACUAUAUAUGCAAGGGAAAUAAAUUAAGUUGUUAUAUAGAAACCCUUGACACUAUAUGCAAUUUCUUAUGUCCCAUAUUCUGAUAAUAUCUGUCCUCUUGGCUCUUACUUCUUGGAAUUUCUCAUAAACACGGAAGCUUCAUGACAAAUUGUGUAAAUCAUCAUUUCCUCCUUUAUGAAGUAUAUUGAAGACAAAAGGGAUUAAAGUCAUUUCACAUUUAGCAAAGCUAUUUUAUGGCAACAUUGUUACAACACAAAAUAGACAUUGCAGUUUACAAUUAACAAUUACACAGUGAUUUCAUAACAAUACUACUUACUCCAAUUAACAAAAUAUUUCUUUAUAAAAAAUAUGUUCAAAAGGAGGUUUACAUUCACUUCUUCGUUUAAUAUCAAGGUUGUUAACAAUGGUCUUAGGAGAUGCAAAGACGAAAAACUACUUACCUUAAAAAUCUGUAUUCUUGAAGAUAUAUACUCCACUUGAAUAAGAUACUGCUCAAGGUUUAGGCUUCCUGGAGAACUCAGAGGAUUUUGUAGUUGUACUUAAUAUACUCAAUAGCCAAAUUUCCUAAACUUUCAUAAUUUUGCUAACCAAGGGCCCUUAACAAAGUUAAAAGACACCACAGGGUUCAAAAGUGAACAAAUAUGUUGUUUUUGUUUUAAGACGGAGUCUCAUUCUUGUCACCUAGGCUGGAGUGCAGUGGCGCAAUCUCUGCUCACUGCAACCUCCAUCUCCCGGGUUUAAGUGAUUCUCACACCUCAGCCUUCCGAGUAGCUGGGAUUACAGGCGCGCGCCACCAAGCCCAGCUAAUUUUUACAUUUUUAGUAGAAAUGGGGUUUCACCAUGUUGGCCACGCUGGUCUCAAACUCCUGACCUCAAGAGAUCCGCCCGCCUCGGCCUCCCAAAGUGCUGGGAUUACAGGCAUGCGCCACUGUGCCUGGUCACAAAUAUGUUAAUGAGCCAAUUAAGAUGGUGCUGCUCAAAUGAUUCUAAUUCAGGAAACUUAGGUUGCAGCUAGGUAAUCUCUAGUUCUCUAAAGAAUAAUACCCAAAUGACAGGAUUUAUGUGUUGAUGCAAUAAUAGCUCAGUCUGUUUCAUGACCUAGCUAGAGUCAGAAUUGGAGCGGUGGCUAUAGCACAGGGGUGGCUUUCUCCUCUCUGAAGGAAAAGUAAAGAAGUAAGAAGAAAGAGGUUGAAAGAACAGCCUACACAGUUGUUGCCCAGAUCUCAAAAUUAGCAACAAGUAUGUCAGCUGUCCUAAUUAUUACCAAACAGGUCCUGGGAGUGUCUGACACACAACAUAAUAUAGGUGCAAUCAGUUCCAGAAUCUGGUUCCUGGAUCUGAACUAAUUUAGCUAUAAGACCUUCAGCAAGACCAUCUCUAUGGCCUGCAUCUCUCUCCUAUAGGUUUGACAAAGAUUCACCUAUGAGUUUGAUGAAGACAGGCUAGGUAUGGCCCUCAAUAAGAAUUUAUUCUGACUGGGAGAUUUAAAACUGUAAAUGCUUGCCGGGCGUGGUGGCUCACGCCUGUAAUCCCAGCACUCUGAGAGGCCGAGGCGGGCGGAUCAUGAGGUCGGGAGAUCGAGACCAUCCUGUAUAACACAGUGAAACCCUGUCUCUACUAAAAAGUACAAAAAAAUUAGCCGGGCGUAGUGGCGGGCGCCUGUAGUCCCAGCUACUCGGGAGACUGAGGCAGGAGAAUGGCGUGAACCCACGAAGCGGAGCUUGCAGUGAGCCGAGAUUGUGCCACUGCACUUGGGGACAGAGCGAGACUCUGUCUUAAAAAAAAAACAAAACAAAACUGUAAAUGCUUGAGUUCUACCUCCUCCAGAUUCUAAUUUUAUUUAAUUGGACAUCUGGUUAUUGUAUUUUUUAACUCCUCAGGUUAUGUAAUAAUACGCAUCCAGUGUUGAGGAACACUGACAAAAAGGUUAGAGUUCAGUGAGACACUGAGGCCUCUUCAGUACAUAAAAAUAGGGUUGGAAGUUAGCAUCUUGACACUCUUUGGGGGAUUCUAUAUCUCUUCACUUGCCAUUAAGUGAAACGUUCAGAAAUUUAAGAGUCAACAAUGCCACCAUUACUGCUGUCAAAGUCCUUCAGUGAUUAAAAAGAUACCAGAAAGAUACCCUGAUCCCUUGAUCAUCUGGUGGUGUUAAACUACUUCAGUAAGAACAAAAGAUGUGCUUUCCAAGGGUGGAGACAUCCAACUUGUAUUCAGUUCCCCAUUACAUUCUGGAUUUGGGUCAAUGAAAGAAGCAUCCAUUGGGGUGAUAGCUAAGGCGUGUCCUCGCCACAAUUAACACUUUUGAAGCCCAUUUAUCCCUGAUGGUCAAUUACACACUAAGAACUUCCUUUUUUUUUUUUUUUUGAGACUGAGUCUCGCUCUUUCACCAGGCCGGAGUGCAGUGGCACUAUCUCAGCUCACUGCAAGCUCCGCCUCCUGGGUUCAGGCCAUUCUCCUGCCUCAGCCUCCCGAGUAGCUGGGACUACAGGCACCCGCCACCGCGCCCAGCUAAUUUGUUGUAUUUUUAGUAGAGAUGGGGUUUCACCGUGUUAGCCAAGAUGGUCUCGAUCUCCUGAUCUCGUGAUCCACCCACCUCGGCCUCCCAAAGUGCUGGGAUUACAGGCAUGAGCCACCGCGCCCGGCCAAGAACUUCCUUUUAAGAUUUGCCCUGAAGGGCCCUAGAGCAUUUCCUCUUCCAUGCAGAGAAUCAGAAAGCUUGGAUUCUAGCUCUAGCUCCCAACAAUUAGCUGUAUGUAAUUGAUGAUGGGUGACUUCAUUAGUGUCAAAGCCAAAGCAUAUUCUCUGUCAGCUUUUCAAAAAAACACGCAGUAAAGAGAGAUUCCUACCAGGAAAACUUUGAUGGGUGUUUUUCAAGUGUCAUCUCACAGCAGAAGAUGCCCCAAGUGGUCAAACCUUGCCAACAGCUUCAAAAAAAGGUAACUAGGAUUUAACUUUACGGUGCAUUUUGAUGUUUCCCUUUGUGUCAUAUCUGAUGAUAAAAGAACCUUAAAAAAAAAAAAAAAAAACACUAUCCAGCUUCUCCAUUCUGUCUCCUGCUUUACUUUCUCUUGUUUACAAAAUACAAAUUUAUAGCUGGAUUUGAUGCUGAAAAUUUAAUACAGUUACCUCAUGUCACAGAUAAAGAACAGAAAUGACUUGACCAAGUUCAC